CGAAAUCGUAGCGAAUGGGAUCAUUUUUGGGAGGAAGAGGGACGGAGGGGAGCUGAGGGGUCCAGUUUAACGUAGACGAAGAAGGUUCAGGAAUGGCGAAAGGACAUCCUGAGAUGUCGUUUGGAACAGCCGAAGGAGAGCUUAACAUGGACGUACAAUCCAUGGAUGUUUCUUUGGGAGGAAAAACGUGGGAGUGCUCGCACGUCACCCAAUUCGGAUUCCUAUAUAUUUCGCAAGGCGAAUCGUUGUACCACGCGAUACUCGUUUCUGCCGUCCAAUAAAAUGGAAAUGUCCCCGUUGCUGACACGAUGAGAGGGAAAUGGUCUACGCGGGGUGGAACCCUUUAUUGUUCCGCAGGAGUAAAGCAGCGUGCAGGCACGCAUAACGUCUACGGAAACACGCGUCAUGUUUGAAACGGAGUACUGAAAACCCGAACACACAGGAUAAAGCAUGCCCAGAAUUUUGAUUCGAUUUCGCGUAAGCCGCAGGCGAUGCGGUUGUACCGCACAUUUGGAAAUGCCGUUAUCUCUCACGAACUUGCACAUAAUUUGCCAACGUGAAAAGGAUCACGAUUUGCAUCGGCGAAGAGGAAUGAAAAUUUCGCAUUUGUUUAUGAUAAUUCCGUUCGAAUGGUAGAUAUUUUGCCGAUGAU
Vespa crabro (European hornet) is the source of this 652-nucleotide long non-coding RNA. RefSeq lists it as uncharacterized. Lineage: Eukaryota; Metazoa; Arthropoda; Insecta; Hymenoptera; Vespidae. The transcript has 3 exons. The record is from RefSeq and is a predicted model, not a curated record.